CUCCAACCUAAUUGACCAUUUUUUUGGAAUGCAUAAAACCUAUUUAUCCCCGAACUUUCGCAAUUGUACACUAUUUAACAUAAAUGCAGCACAUCUGAACAGGAAAACCUACCUAAAGGUACCCAGCAUAAAGCCAGAAGAUCGCCCCAGGUAUUGCACCUUGAGCCAACUAAAAACCCCUAUCAUUUCCAUACAAUUCUUAACCAUUAUACUAUCAUCCACGUCAAGUGCCGGUACCCAGCCCACUUAGCAGCAAGAUGAAUUCCGAUGGCUAAGGCUGCACAUAACAAUGGCACUGGAACCCUUUGACCUGUUGCCGCAACUUCAUCUUCUUCUUUUCCUUUGGAAAGCUUCCAUGAAUGGUGAUAAAUAGCUAGAGCCAGAUAGGAAAGCAUCACUAAAACUCUAACCCAGGGUUCUCCAACGGCAGCCAAUACAGCAGCUGCAGGCAAAGCAGAUGUUACAUGAUCUCUCUUUUUAACUAAUCGAGAGAAACCAUAAAAACCCAGUAGAAGCGUCCAGAAGAGUGGCUCAGAGAUGUAGUUCCUCACAGCUGCAUAGCCAACCAGGCCAGAUAUUGUAAGAAGAUAUGGUUGGCUGAUUAUAGAGUUUGGAGCAGCAGCUUCAGCAACAGCAAGAACUGCUGAUGCAAGCAAAAUAAUCAUAGUCAACUCUGGAACAGGAGCAUAUGCAACUAUACCAGAAUAGAAAGCCCGAACUGUGUAUAUUAGAGUCUCUAUGCAUCUGAUCAAAGAAGUGAUUGGAUCCCCAAUGAAAUGGAAGAUUACAGCCAACAAAAGUUUCAGAAGGUAUCCCACAAAACUAACAACUGCCAGUACGGCCUUCUUCCAGUUGGCUAGUUCAAAUAACACAGCCCUCCAUGCAUAGACAAGGAAACCCAGUGCCACAAACCAUGGCCAUGUAACAGGAGGAUCAGGCGCUUCCUUAGUCAAGUACCUGAACCUAUCAGGCAUAGUACUCUCUCCACGAGCCAACCUUUCAGCAUCAUCAUCAACACUAGUCUUGCUCUCUCCUUGUCCAUUCUCUGCU
This 1050-nucleotide unclassified non-coding RNA is filed under the name Hevea brasiliensis (rubber tree). Lineage: Eukaryota; Viridiplantae; Streptophyta; Magnoliopsida; Malpighiales; Euphorbiaceae. The record is from RNAcentral.